This 73-nucleotide transfer RNA is filed under the name Ailuropoda melanoleuca (giant panda). It matches the Rfam family "tRNA". Rfam says of the family: Transfer RNA (tRNA) molecules are approximately 80 nucleotides in length. Their secondary structure includes four short double-helical elements and three loops (D, anti-codon, and T loops). Further hydrogen bonds mediate the characteristic L-shaped molecular structure. tRNAs have two regions of fundamental functional importance: the anti-codon, which is responsible for specific mRNA codon recognition, and the 3' end, to which the tRNAs corresponding amino acid is attached (by aminoacyl-tRNA synthetases). tRNAs cope with the degeneracy of the genetic code in two manners: having more than one tRNA (with a specific anti-codon) for a particular amino acid; and 'wobble' base-pairing, i.e. permitting non-standard base-pairing at the 3rd anti-codon position. The record is from Rfam by way of RNAcentral. Lineage: Eukaryota; Metazoa; Chordata; Mammalia; Carnivora; Ursidae.
GCCUAGCUGGCUCCCUCGGCAGAGCACGAGACUCUUGAUCUUGGGGUUGUGAGUUCGAGCCCCACACUGGGUG